AGUGGCGCCGGUGCUGGCCGAAAUCGGUUGGCGACGACGGCGAGCGAAAGAGGACGGACGGCGGCGGUGGAGCGCCGAUUUGGUGGAGGGUGGGGGCGCAGGAGUGGUGGAACCGGCGGCUGGGCCGGUGGAGCGCCGGGAUCUGGCGGCGGCGCGAUCCACCCCCCACUAAUUUUUCUCCUUGUUUUCUUUUCUUACCGUGGUUUAUUUUCAUCCGUCACGGUUUUAUUUUCCCUGAACCAAAGAGGCGAUAGCUUAGGAGUCAGGAGCCCAGCCCGCACACCCCUCUCUCUCCCCUCAAGCAAUAAGGUGCGCUAGGGUUGGCCCGCCACUGACUGCGAUGGCUAUCAAAUGGCAGCUAGGGCGAUGUCGACGCGCUUUAUCUCCCACCGCUGCCGCCUCCUGAGAUCCCGAUCCCGACCGUGGUGAGCUCCCUUCCCUUCCCCACUUCCUCGCUACCAUGCCCCUCCCGACAUCCGUUCCGUUCCCAAGGCAACGGCCGCUCCACGAUCCGUCUAACCUAGGAAUAGGAUUGUCGACCUGAUCUGUCGGUGUGCACAUGACGAUGGUGAAUUGGCGAUGCCGGACUCAAUCGCCCUGAUUUGGUUUGACUGAGAAUCAUCCAUGUGUAGGCGACAAGCAGAUUUCCUUGCAUGCCAAUUCCUUAGCUGAAACAAUAUAUAGUUCUCCGACUACCGUGCUCGAUUUUAUUCACAGGCUUCAGGACCAAUUUGUGGGAAAGUGCGGCGAACACGAGCAAAUAAAUUGGUAGAAGGUGCGGACAACUAUCUGUGCGAAGGCUUGUGUAAUAUGUAAAGUGAAUUGCAGAUGCAUUAUCUACCUCUUUGAUAAGUAUUGGGAUGUAGCGGCAUCACGGUGAUUGCGCCUGGUCUACUCCACGUCUUUGCUUGUGGUUUGUGUUCUUCAGAGUCUGCUUCUGUUUGCACCUAUUCGAGAUAAUGGUCGUGAAAUGCAGCAGCCAAGACAACAAGAUCAAGCUCUACUUAGAUUCUAAAGAAUUGAUUUGUUGUUCGGGCAUUUCGUGCAUUUGGAGUUCACAGGUAUCUAAGUUUCUCUGAUAUGUGUUUUCAAAGGAUUUGGUACUAAGCACUAGAAUUUUUUGUCUGAGCAUGUCAUCUCAAGGCUUGGGUAGAACACGAGCAAUUGUGAGAUAGAGCUAUUUGCUGCACCUUUUAGAAAAUAGAACUGAUAAAUUCUCGGUAGUACCUAUAUUGAUUAGCUAUGUGCUUACCUCUAAGUCCUUAGCAAAUUAUUGUAAUUGUUAGUACAUCAAGGUUUAAAUAAUUAUUAUUAAAAGUACAUGUUGAGCACUACUUAUAAUGAAAAAUGUAUGUCCAUGGUUUAAAGAAGCUUUAUUGUUUCAGUCUAUACUGAAGCUUAUAUUGUUCCCCAGUUGAUCUAGACAUCAAAUAUUUUAAGCUUCUGUUUUUUGAGCCAACAGACGAACUACAACAACAACAACAAAAAAGCCUUUAGAGCAUCCCCAACAGACGGGCGCAGGCGCGGCACGCUAAAUUUUUUUUACAGCACGCGCAACAGCUGUUUUUGCGCCCGAGUAGGCAAUUGCUUCACCAAGCGCUGCAAGUUUUAGCGCGCCACUGUAGCGGUUCAACAGGCGCGCUAAAAUACAGCACGCUGAUACACAUACAUACGCAAAAACAAGACAUACAUAUUUCAACCAACAUAGACAUAGUCAUAUUUCAAACAAAAUAGCAUAUUUCAACCACAACAUAUAUAGUUCAUAGCAUAGAUAGUAAAAAAAAAGAUACAAAAGCCCGCGGCUAAAAACUACUCGUCGUCCUCCUCCGCCUCCGACUCUGACUCGGUGGUGUCCUCCUCCUCCUCCGACGUCGUAAUGAAGGCGUCAAUCCACCAUUCAUCGUUGGAGCCCUAGGUCGACGCUUCUUUGAGCUAGAUGUUGAAGAGCGCGGCCACCUUCCGCGUACGCUUGUCCUUGCGAUAGGCGGCUCGCUCCGCCCUCCUUCCCGCCCUCCUUUGCGCGUAGAAUUCGCGCUCGUUGACGACGUCCUCCGGGAAGCGUUGGCGUCACACAGCCAUGGCCUCGUCAUCCAUCUCAACGAUGCCGAGGCGGCGCUCCCGCCUCCGGUUGUCGCGACGGUCCUCGUCGGUGAAAAGCCACAGGCGAAGCGCGAGCUCCUACGCUCGCUCCCGCGUCGCCAUGUUGGAGAGGUUCAUCUCCCUACGAGGCCGCCGGAGGCGCCACGCCGCCGCGUCGUACGCGUGGGCGGCCUCGUGGGUGGUGUCGAAUGUGCCGAGGCCGACGCGCAUCUCACCGGAGCGGAUCUUGGCAUAGGAGUCGGAGGGGCGCGCACGGACGCGGUAGCCCGAACUUCCCUGGCGGCACGGCGGCAUGGUCGCACGGCGGCGGCGAGGCGAGAAAGAGCGGCAGAGAGGGCGCUUGGCGAGGCAGAGCGAUGGGUCUGGGAUUUAUAGCGCCCGCGCGUCGACACGCGCCAACACUGCCGCACGCGCCCGUUAUUUUUGCACGCCACUUUUUCCCGCGCCCGCUGGAGCACCCCGCGCGGACGCGUGCGGGGUAAAUGCCAUGUUUUUCGCGCGCGCGCUUUAUUUGCCGCGUCUGUUGGAGAUGCUUUUAGUCCCAAACAAGUUGGGGUAUACUAGAGGUGAAACCCGUAGAUCUCGCAACCAACUCAUGGGUCUGGCACAUGGAUACCGACAUUCCACGCACCCCUGUCCAUGGCUAGUUCUCUGUCGAUACGAACCUUCCUAUCCCUCUUUACGGACUCCUCCCAUGUCAAAGUUCGGUCUAUCCCGACCUCUCUUGACAUUAUCGGCACGCUUUAGCCAUCCGCUAUGCAGUGGCGCUUCUGGAGACCCGCGCUGAAUAUGCCCAAACCAUCUCAGACGAUGUUGGACAAGCUUCUCUUCAAUUGGCGCUACCCCAACCCUAUCUCGUAUAACAUCAUUCCGGACUCGGUCCUUCCUUGUGUGGCCACACAUCCAUCUCAGCAUGCGCAUCUCCGCCACACCUAACUAUUGAACAUGUUGCCUUUUAGUCGGCCAACACUCAACACCAUACAACAUUGCGGGUCGAACUGUCAUCCUAUAGAACUUGCUUCUUAGCUUUUGUGGCACUCUCUUUUCACAGAGAAUGCCAGAAGCUUGACGCUACUUCAUCCAUCCGGCUUUGAUUCGAUGAUUCACAUCUUCAUCAUAUCCCCAUCCUAGCCAACGGGCAAACUAAUAAGGGGAAAUUUGUUUCAUAAAUAGUAGUGUCAUUUACUACGCAGAUGAUACUCACUUCUCAAACAAGUCAGCAUUAUUUUUCAGUCAGUAGGUUUCAGAAUAAGGUCGGAGUUCGCAUGGAGCACCAACGAUAAUCUCAAGCAGAUGCAUCGGAGACAGGUGAUGAACUCUCCUAUGUUUCCUCACCUGAAUCCUUGCUCCAAUCACUUGAUUGUUCGAUCCAGUUUGUUGUGACAAUACAAUGAUUUUCUGUUUUUCCUGUGGUGCAACCUCUGUUUGGUUUGGAAAGAUGGGGACUUUCUGUUGAGUUAUUUCAAUCUUCCAUUGACCAUAACAUUCCAGAUUCCUUUUUUUUAUUUCCUCUUUUUUCGUGGCUUCAUUUCGUUGGUUGGAUUGGACCUUGUACUGUUGUGACAAUUUUUUUACUCCCAUAACAAUGGACGGUUAUGUUUACAUUUGAUGAUGAUGAUCUUUGUUGUGUUGAGCCAAAACAGUUCAAUUCUUUGUUUUACAAUCUUACCUUCAGACUUGGAGAUUGAGAUGCUACAGCAAUACAUGUUCAAGUUUCCUCACAAAGAAGUGAGGGAACAAAUCAAAUAACUGAGUGUAAUAAUUUUAGAAUUAUUCCAUCUAUAAAAUUGAUGCACCUGAGUUAUUAAAUGCCCUUCUUGAUUCAUUUUCUCUUACUGUGCUAGAUUUUCUGCAAAAAUAAUAAUAUUAUUUUCGCAACGCACGUCUAGAACCACUAAACAUGCUAGAUGGAAGGUUGUGGUAUUUUCUUCUCAUACUAGGUCGUUAUGGAUUAUGGCCCCCAUUUUCAGAUAAACAUGU
This is a long non-coding RNA of Triticum aestivum (bread wheat), 4080 nucleotides long. RefSeq lists it as uncharacterized. The transcript is spliced from 5 exons. The record is from RefSeq and is a predicted model, not a curated record. NCBI's taxonomy places the organism in Eukaryota, Viridiplantae, Streptophyta, Magnoliopsida, Poales, Poaceae.